Molecule: non-coding RNA, 107 nt
Organism: Gossypium hirsutum (cotton)
Lineage: Eukaryota; Viridiplantae; Streptophyta; Magnoliopsida; Malvales; Malvaceae
Source: Rfam
AUACCGUAAUGAGGGCACUUUUGUAACAACUCCUUGAACCACUCCCAUGCCUCAUAUAAAGAUUCUUCAUCAAGUGGCUGAAAUGAAGUGAUUCCAUUACGGAUCUU